CGCGCUACACUGAUGCGUUCAACGAGUAUACAACCUUGAUCGAUAGGUCUGGGUAAUCUUGUGAAUGCGCAUCGUGCUAGGGAUAGACUGUUGCAAUUUUCAGUCUUGAACGAGGAAUUCCUAGUAAACGCAAGUCAUCAGCUUGCAUUGAUUACGUCCCUGCCCUUUGUACACACCGCCCGUCGCACCUACCGAUUGAAUGACUCGGUGAAAAAUUGGGACCGUGAGUCCGCUUGCUUCAUUGCGAGUGGAUUGAUGGGAACUUUUUUAAACCUCGCCAUUUAGAGGAAGGUGAAGUCGUAACAAGGUUUCCGUAGGUGAACCUGCGGAAGGAUCAUUACC
This 342-nucleotide ribosomal RNA is filed under the name Peronospora mesembryanthemi. RNAcentral describes it as "SSU rRNA". It matches the Rfam family "Eukaryotic small subunit ribosomal RNA", at positions 1494 to 1831 of the family's 1831-position model. The record is from RNAcentral. Lineage: Eukaryota; Oomycota; Peronosporomycetes; Peronosporales; Peronosporaceae.